RNAcentral lists this non-coding RNA (24 nucleotides) under Arabidopsis thaliana (thale cress). Lineage: Eukaryota; Viridiplantae; Streptophyta; Magnoliopsida; Brassicales; Brassicaceae. The record is from RNAcentral.
GACCUAGGUGGUCGAGUGAGUGGU